Molecule: small RNA, 407 nt
Filed under: Histoplasma ohiense
Lineage: Eukaryota; Fungi; Ascomycota; Eurotiomycetes; Onygenales; Ajellomycetaceae
Description: hypothetical lncRNA
Source: RNAcentral
AAUCAGGGAGUGCCUUGACAAAUUCCUUCUCGUUGCAGGCCUCCAAACCACAUUACUCCAUAUCACCUGCAUUUCUUGGUAUCGAUCCGACCACAACAAGCACACAGCCUUGAUAUUCUGGACGGGAAACUUCAUGCUGAGCAGCCAGCCACACCUUGCGCAAUGUGAUGGCCUGUCUCAGCAACCGAGGCGUAGAACGACAUCGGAAAAACAACCGCAUGGGAUGUUGAUUAAAGAAUGCCAUCAAGUGGACCCUACCCCAGAAUCAGUCCUGGAGGGCGCCUGGGCUGUUUGAAUAUGACAUACUGAGCGGGGCUACUGUUAGAUAGAUACCAGGAGGCAUGGCCCUUCCCGUGUGCAGUGUAUUAUCAUGUUAAAUCGAAUAUUCUCCUCAAUAGUUAAUAGAA